Molecule: long non-coding RNA, 3875 nt
Organism: Carya illinoinensis
Lineage: Eukaryota; Viridiplantae; Streptophyta; Magnoliopsida; Fagales; Juglandaceae
Exons: 2
Source: RefSeq, a predicted model, not a curated record
AAAAAUACUCCUUCAGUGAAAAUACACGUAAAAACGGGUCAUCACAGUGAUACUCGUUGAAACCCCACCAAAAUUUCCUUAGUAACUGGUCCAAUCUGUUGGUGAUGGACUGAGGUAGUAGAAAAAUUCCCAUGGCAUAGGUAGGAAUGGCCUGUAGGACUGACUUGAGCAAGACUUCCUUUCCAGCUGCAGAUAGACUAUUUGUCUUCCAGUUUGUGAUUCGAGACCACACUCUAUCAAUUAGACCAUGGAAUGUUGCAAUUUUGGCUCUCCCAACCAUGGCAGGGAGACCAAGGUACUUCUUAAAAGAGCCUGUUGCUGACACUCCAUCAAUAUGCAAAAUUGUCCUCUUGUUCUCUGGUGGUGUAUUCUUGCUAAAAAAUAUGGAAGACUUCUCUUUGUUUAGCACCUGGCUUGAGGCAGUCUCAUAUAAGUUUAGAACCCUCAUUAGUCUACUCCAUUCAAGAGAGUUGGAUUUACAGAAGAUCAUGCUAUUAUCAGCAAAGAAAAGGUGAUUGACUUUUAAAGGACCUCUUCCCAUCGGGACACUAGUAAGGCUGCCAUCCAUCUUAGCCUUGUUGAGAAUGCUUGUUAAAGCCUCAGCACAAAGGAUAAAGAGGUAAGGGGAUAGAGGAUCCCCUUGCCUUAAGCCUUGGGAGGCUUGAAGGGAGCUUGUGGUUCACCAUUGAGGGGAAUUGAGUAUGAAACUGAGGAUAUGCAGCUCAUCACUAUAGAAAUCCAUCUCCUAUCAAAUCUCAUUUUGUCCAUCACUGAGGAAAGAAAGGGCCACUCUAACCGAUCGUAUGCCUUGCUCAUAUCAAGCUUGAAGGCCAUGAAGCCAGCUUUUCCUGUCAUUCUAGUUGUCAUCAUGUGAAGGGUCUCAUAAGCUACCAAAAUAUUAUCUGUGAUGGCCCUACCUGGAACAAAAGCACUUUGAUUCAAAGAAAUAAUGUUAGGUAAAACAACCUUAAGCCUAUUUGACAUUACUUUGGCAACAAUUUUAUAAAUUACAUUACAAAGGCUUAUAGGCCUGAAAUUAGAAACUUUCUUUGGCUCCUUAACCUUUGGGAUUAAGGUAAUGGAGGUAUCAUUGACCGCCUCCAAGAAUCCUCCCUUGUUUAGAAUCUUGAGUACAAAGCUACAGACCUCCUUGCCAAGAAACUCCCAAUUAGUUUGAUAAAACAAGGCUGGGAACCCAUCAGGUCUUGGAGAGCCUAAGCCUUUCAUUUGGAACACAGCCUUCUUGACCUCUUCCUCAGUGAACUCCUGCAGCAGACUCUCAUUCAUCAGCGGUGUAACUCUAUGGGCCAUGUGCAUUAGACAUUCUUCAAUACCAGAGGGGUGGGAGGUUGAGAACAGAUCAGAGAAAAAUUGGGAGAAGGUAGCCCCAAUCUGUUGCUUCUCAGUCACUAGCGUGUUCCUACUAUCCAGGAUUUGAGAGAUGCUGUUGAUUUUCCUUCUGUGAGUGGCCUGCAUAUGAAAAUAUUUUGUGUUUUUGUCCCCCACUUGUAACCAGUGUUGUUUUGCCCUUUGUUUCUAUUUUAGAUCCUCCUUAGCUAGAGUUUGGUCAAUUUCAUUUUGCAGUUUUGAAGCAGAUUCUACAUGAUCUCCUCUACCAUUUUCUUGCAGCUCGCUCAGCUUUCCUAGUUUAUGCUUGAUAUUAGCAGAGAUCCUUUUGUUUGCUUUGGCAUCCCAUGUUUUUAGUGUAGACCUGCAAUUAAGGAGUCUUCUUUUCAUCAUAGUAGUAUAAUCCUGCCCACCUGCAGCCUUUUCCCAAGCCUCCUUAAUGGUUUGAACACAGUCAUCCUUUAAUAUCCAAGCAGCUUCAAACCUGAAGCAUUUUCCUUUAGGUAGCCAUGAGUUUCUCGAUUCCUUAUAAAUAAGACAAGUGGUGAAUAGUCUGAUCUUACUGUAGGUUCCACAGAGCAACAACUAUCAUUAAGCAUUUCCUUCCAAGUUGGGUUAGCUAGAGCUCGAUCCAAUCUUUCUUUAGUAAAGCUUCUGCCUCUUCUAUUGUUGGCCCAAGUGUACUUUGAGCCUCUGGUAUGAAUUGAAUUUAAUGAGUAGUAUUCAAGGGCAUCUCUAAAAAUUUCCAUUUGUUUGUAUGGUCUGGGGCAGCCUCCCUUCUUCUCAUCUUGACAGGUGAUUUCAUUAUAGUCCCCACAGCAUAUCCAUGGUGUUGGGGCCACGAUCUCAACUAAUGUUAUUAAAAGCCAAGAUGCAUAUUGCAUGGCUAAUUCGAUGCUGAUAUAUUUUGAGCUAAAAUAGGCAUAAUUUGGCUUGCUAGUGCUUUUGUCGAUGCCACUAGUAUGGGUGCCUAAGAUCCUUAAAGGAUAAAUUUUCGUGUGGGUAGAUUUAUCCCUAUAAUUCAAGGGAGGUUAUCUUACUUUGUUAAAAGAUUUGGAUCAAGUUCUCACUUUGAAUUGGGAGAAUGCAUUAAACUAUGUCACAAAAGUGAAUCUCAGGGGGUCUUGGGCAUUGAUCCUCUAGUCACCAGCACUUCUUUUUUUGCAAGUUGAAAACCUUAUCAACAAAUAGGGACAUGGCCUUAUAAGAAUUAAAAAAAAAAAAAAAAAAAGAGGUCUCAUAUGACUAAGCAUUUUGGAUCAUGCUUGGGAUCUUCUAAUCAAUUCCCCACUUAUUUAAUGUAUUUCAUUUAAUCGAAGAUUAAUAAUUUUGAAUGCUAAUAUUCUCCACUGUAAAUUUGGAAAUACCAAUGAAAAUGAGUUUGUAAGAAAUGCAAGGGAUGGAUUUUGAAGAAAUAAAAACAAUAUUGGAUAAUUAUUCAUUAAAAUUUGUUCUGGCUAGGGUACAUGCUCAGCGUCAAGAGUACUUCAAACAUGCAAUCAACUAAACUCAAAUGGCUGAAAAUGCGACGAACCAUAGGACAUUUGUUACAAUGUAAAUUCCAAUUACAUUGAAAUUCAUAAAUAAACAGAUUCUGUAAAUUAGUGCACAAUCACAAUCUCCUGCACAAAAUCACAAAAAAGCAUUGGAACAAACCCUUUCAGAUUUUUUGUAUGGAAUGGUAAUAAAAUUUUUCUAGAUUAUAUAAUACAUGCACCAAAAAAAAAAAAAAAAGGUCAAGUCGGAAUAUCCAUUUCUUCCAAAAGAAUUUUUCAGGUCGGGAAAUUGGCUAAUCGGCCAAGCGGCCAAACAUGAUGCCUCUAUAUUGGCUCAAGUCGGAAGGGUUUUCGGGUUGGGUGAACAGAACUAGUCGUGCCAUGGUCCCUUUACAUCAGGGUAAUUUUAGAAUUAAGGCUGUCAAUUGGGCUGGCCGACAGGAAGGACCACGCACUUGGAAUGGAAUUGCAGUAAGAGAUGGAGAGAUGGUCUAUGGGUGCUGAGGCAGGGCACGAACCUGUGCAGCAGGAUUCUUGGGUUGGGCAACAUAAUCAGACACUGAAGGAGUGCACGGGAGCUGCGAAAGCAGCCAUUUACGUUCGGCCUCAACACGCAUGUACGAGCAUGACUCUAAAUGAAGCCAACCAAUCACGAGGAAGGAAGCCAACCAAUCAAGCGGGAGCCGAAACAAAUGGGCAAGGACGUUGGACCUCAACGGAGAGCAGAUCAUGCAUGGACAAAAGGGGAUUUUCAUUUGUUCACUUUUUUUUUUUUUGGCUGGGUUCUGACGUUGCUAGGGAAUUUGAAUUUCAUUCUCAUUUUUAUGCUUAGAAUAUUUUUUUCUCCAGGAGUUUUGGGACUCAGGGGAUGUUAUUUUUUUUGGCUUCACUUUUCAUCUUUCUUGGUUUUUUGGUUCUGGGUUCCAGACCCUUGUGAGGAGGCUAAUAUUGUUCUUCAUCUUUUUUUGGGAUUAUAUUCUGAAAUGGAGAUGGAGCAUUUGGAUUCAAAUAUGUUAGGCUAACUUUUCAACU